CAGGGUGUAGCUCAGUGGUACAGUCCUUGCCUAGCAGACACAGGAUCCUGGGUUUGAUCCCCAGCACCAUGA
RNAcentral lists this transfer RNA (72 nucleotides) under Marmota marmota marmota (Alpine marmot). It matches the Rfam family "tRNA". Rfam says of the family: Transfer RNA (tRNA) molecules are approximately 80 nucleotides in length. The record is from Rfam by way of RNAcentral. RNAcentral also lists the same sequence under 1 other name. Lineage: Eukaryota; Metazoa; Chordata; Mammalia; Rodentia; Sciuridae.